Non-coding RNA from Trichonephila inaurata madagascariensis, 86 nucleotides. Lineage: Eukaryota; Metazoa; Arthropoda; Arachnida; Araneae; Nephilidae. The record is from the annotation of a GenBank genome assembly.
GAAAACGGGGGGCCAGUGGUUAAGGCGAUGGGCUGCUAAUCCAUUGGGGCUCUGCCCGCGUGGGGUUUGAAUCCCAUCCCUUUUCG